This 448-nucleotide ribosomal RNA is filed under the name uncultured Tepidimonas sp. Its description in RNAcentral is "bacterial SSU rRNA". It matches the Rfam family "Bacterial small subunit ribosomal RNA", at positions 927 to 1382 of the family's 1533-position model. The record is from RNAcentral. Lineage: Bacteria; Pseudomonadati; Pseudomonadota; Betaproteobacteria; Burkholderiales.
AAGCGGUGGAUGAUGUGGUUAAUUCGAUGCAACGCGAAAACCUUACUACCCUUGACAUGCCAGGAAUCCUGCAGAGAUGUGGGAGUGCUCGCAAGAGAGCCUGGACACAGGUGCUGCAUGGCUGUCGUCAGCUCGUGUCGUGAGAUGUUGGGUUAAGUCCCGCAACGAGCGCAACCCUUGCCAUUAGUUGCUACGAAAGGGCACUCUAAUGGGACUGCCGGUGACAAACCGGAGGAAGGUGGGGAUGACGUCAAGUCCUCAUGGCCCUUAUGGGUAGGGCUACACACGUCAUACAAUGGCCGGUACAGAGGGCUGCCAACCCGCGAGGGGGAGCCAAUCCCGUAAAACCGGUCGUAGUCCGGAUUGCAGUCUGCAACUCGACUGCAUGAAGUCGGAAUCGCUAGUAAUCGCGGAUCAGCAUGUCGCGGUGAAUACGUUCCCGGGUCUU